CUGAAACACCGGUUUGCAUAUGAUCGCUGAAGAUAAACAACAUCAAGCCUGGCCAGUACCUAGAUGAGUGACCACUUAGGAAUACCAGGUGCUGUAAG
Acanthosepion pharaonis is the source of this 98-nucleotide non-coding RNA. The record is from the annotation of a GenBank genome assembly. Lineage: Eukaryota; Metazoa; Mollusca; Cephalopoda; Sepiida; Sepiidae.